UACAUGGGGUGCAAACGUUGCUCGGAAUUAUUGGGCGUAAAGCGCACGUAGGCGGUUCGUUAAGUCGGAUGUGAAAGCCCCUCGGCUCAACUGAGGAAGUGCACCCGAAACUGGCGAGCUUGAGUACGAAAGAGGAUCGCGGAAUUCCCGGUGUAGAGGUGAAAUUCGUAGAUAUCGGGAGGAACACCGGUGGCGAAGGCGGCGAUCUGGGUCGAUACUGACGCUGAGGUGCGAAAGCGUGGGGAGCAAACAGG
RNAcentral lists this ribosomal RNA (254 nucleotides) under uncultured bacterium. Its description in RNAcentral is "partial 16S ribosomal RNA". It matches the Rfam family "Bacterial small subunit ribosomal RNA", at positions 524 to 776 of the family's 1533-position model. The record is from RNAcentral.